This is a non-coding RNA of Gymnothorax javanicus (giant moray), 71 nucleotides long. NCBI's taxonomy places the organism in Eukaryota, Metazoa, Chordata, Actinopteri, Anguilliformes, Muraenidae. The record is from the annotation of a GenBank genome assembly.
GCGUGAUGCUCUAGUGGUUAGUGGAAGGGAUUCUGGGUCAUCUGGCCUGGGUUCGAGUCCCAGACCAGGCA